RNAcentral lists this ribosomal RNA (445 nucleotides) under uncultured bacterium. RNAcentral describes it as "partial 16S ribosomal RNA". It matches the Rfam family "Bacterial small subunit ribosomal RNA", at positions 354 to 796 of the family's 1533-position model. The record is from RNAcentral.
GUAGGGAAUAUUGGGCAAUGGAUGCAAGUCUGACCCAGCCAUCCCGCGUGCCGGAAGAAGGCCCUCAGGGUUGUAAACGGCUUUUGACGGUGAAGAAUCGACAGGAUGCGUCCUGUUUUGACGGUAGCCGUUGAAUAAGCACCGGCUAACUCCGUGCCAGCAGCCGCGGUAAUACGGAGGGUGCGAGCGUUGUCCGGAUUUAUUGGGUUUAAAGGGUGCGUAGGCUGGAAGGUCAGUCAGCGGUGAAAAGCUGUCACUUAACGAUAGUCUUGCCGCAGAUACUUCCUUUCUUGGAUGAGGAGGAGGCCACUGGAACGGAUGGUGUAGCGGUGAAAUGCAUAGAUAUCAUCCAGAACACCGAUUGCGAAGGCAGGUGGCUGUACCUUAAUCGACGCUGAUGCACGAAAGCAUGGGGAGCAAACAGGAUUAGAAACCCUUGUAGUCC